This 530-nucleotide ribosomal RNA is filed under the name uncultured Archaeorhizomycetes. RNAcentral's name for it is "eukaryotic LSU rRNA". It matches the Rfam family "Eukaryotic large subunit ribosomal RNA", at positions 175 to 717 of the family's 3401-position model. The record is from RNAcentral. Lineage: Eukaryota; Fungi; Ascomycota; Archaeorhizomycetes.
CCGGGCUCAAUUUCCUUGGAACAGGAGGUCAUGGAGGGUGAGAACCCCGUACAUGGCUUGGGUGUCGCAGUCCUAGUGAUGGUUCCUCUAAGAGUCGGGUUGUUUGGGAAUGCAGCUCAAAAUGGGUGGUAAAUUUCAUCUAAAGCUAAAUAUUGGCGAGAGACCGAUAGCAAACAAGUAGAGUGAUCGAAAGAUGAAAAGUACUUUGAAAAGAGAGUGAAACAGUACGUGAAAUUGUUGAAAGGGAAGCGUUUGGCAUCAGCCCAUGAUGGUCAUCGAACAUCCUGGCUUCUGCCUGGUGCACUCGAUGGCCAUUGGGCCAGCGUCGGCUCUGCCAGCUGGAGAAAGGCCUUGGACAAGUGGCUCCUUUUCGGGAGCGUUAUAACCCAUGGCGUCAUGCAGCUUGGUGGGGCCGAGGUCCGCGGGUUUUCCUAGGACGCUGGCGUAAUGGUUCCAAGCGACCCGUCUUGAAACACGGACCAAGGAGUCUAACAUCUAUGCGAGUGUUUGGGUGUCAAGCCCGACCGCGC